UACGUAGGCAGCGAGCGUUGUUCGGAAUUACUGGGCGUAAAGAGUGUGUAGGCGGUGCUCUAAGUUCGGUGUGAAAUCUCCUGGCUCAACUGGGAGGGUGCGCCGGAAACUGGAGUGCUUGAGCGUGGGAGAGGAAAGCGGAAUUCCUGGUGUAGCGGUGAAAUGCGUAGAUAUCAGGAGGAACACCUGUGGUGUAGACGGCUUUCUGGACCAUAGCUGACGCUGAUGCACGAAAGCUGGGGGAGCAAACAGG
Molecule: ribosomal RNA, 253 nt
Filed under: uncultured bacterium
Lineage: Bacteria
Description: partial 16S ribosomal RNA
Rfam family: Bacterial small subunit ribosomal RNA
Source: RNAcentral